GGGGACGUAGCGCAAUGGUAGCGCGUCUGAUUCCAGUCCAGAAGGUUGGGCGUUCGAUUCGCCUCGUCCUCA
This 72-nucleotide transfer RNA is filed under the name Eutypa lata UCREL1. RNAcentral describes it as "tRNA-Trp (CCA) (tRNA-Trp-CCA-1-1)". It matches the Rfam family "tRNA". Rfam says of the family: Transfer RNA (tRNA) molecules are approximately 80 nucleotides in length. Their secondary structure includes four short double-helical elements and three loops (D, anti-codon, and T loops). Lineage: Eukaryota; Fungi; Ascomycota; Sordariomycetes; Xylariales; Diatrypaceae. The record is from RNAcentral.